Molecule: ribosomal RNA, 655 nt
Filed under: Listeria monocytogenes
Lineage: Bacteria; Bacillati; Bacillota; Bacilli; Caryophanales; Listeriaceae
Description: bacterial SSU rRNA
Rfam family: Bacterial small subunit ribosomal RNA
Source: RNAcentral
GCACUCCGCCUGGGGAGUACGGCCGCAAGGCUGAAACUCAAAGGAAUUGACGGGGGCCCGCACAAGCGGUGGAGCAUGUGGUUUAAUUCGAAGCAACGCGAAGAACCUUACCAGGUCUUGACAUCCUUUGACCACUCUAGAGAUAGAGCUUUCCCUUCGGGGACAAAGUGACAGGUGGUGCAUGGUUGUCGUCAGCUCGUGUCGUGAGAUGUUGGGUUAAGUCCCGCAACGAGCGCAACCCUUAUUGUUAGUUGCCAUCAUUCAGUUGGGCACUCUAGCGAGACUGCCGGUGACAAACCGGAGGAAGGUGGGGAUGACGUCAAAUCAUCAUGCCCCUUAUGACCUGGGCUACACACGUGCUACAAUGGACAGUACAAUGAGUUGCGAGACCGCGAGGUUUAGCUAAUCUCUUAAAGCUGUUCUCAGUUCGGAUUGCAGGCUGCAACUCGCCUGCAUGAAGCCGGAAUCGCUAGUAAUCGCGGAUCAGAACGCCGCGGUGAAUACGUUCCCGGGCCUUGUACACACCGCCCGUCACACCACGAGAGUUUGUAACACCCAAAGUCGGUGAGGUAACCUUCGGGAGCCAGCCGCCUAAGGUGGGAUGGAUGAUUGGGGUGAAGUCGUAACAAGGUAGCCGUAUCGGAAGGUGCGGCUG